AGCGAACGCUGGCGGCAGGCCUAAGACAUGCAAGUCGAACGAACCUUUCGGGGUUAGUGGCGGACGGGUGAGUAACACGUGGGAACGUGCCUUUAGGUUCGGAAUAACUCAGGGAAACUUGUGCUAAUACCGAAUGUGCCCUUCGGGGGAAAGAUUAAUCGCCUUUAGAGCGGCCCGCGUCUGAUUAGCUAGUUGGUUGAGGUAAUGGCUCACCAAGGCGACGAUCAGUAGCUGGUCUGAGAGGAUGAUCAGCCACAUUGGGACUGAGACACGGCCCAAACUCCUACGGGAGGCAGCAGUGGGGAAUCUUGCGCAAUGGGCGAAAGCCUGACGCAGCCAUGCCGCGUGAAUGAUGAAGGUCUUAGGAUUGUAAAAUUCUUUCACCGGGGACGAUAAUGACGGUACCCGGAGAAGAAGCCCCGGCUAACUUCGUG
RNAcentral lists this ribosomal RNA (434 nucleotides) under uncultured bacterium. RNAcentral's name for it is "partial 16S ribosomal RNA". It matches the Rfam family "Bacterial small subunit ribosomal RNA", at positions 29 to 507 of the family's 1533-position model. The record is from RNAcentral.